UCCGUGCCAGCAGCCGCGGUAAUACGGAGGAUCCGAGCGUUAUCCGGAAUUAUUGGGUUUAAAGGGUUCGUAGGCGGCUUUGUAAGUCAGUGGUGAAAUUUCCUAGCUUAACUAGGACACUGCCAUUGAUACUGCAGAGCUUGAAUAGUAUGGAAGUAACUAGAAUAUGUAGUGUAGCGGUGAAAUGCUUAGAUAUUACAUGGAAUACCAAUUGCGAAGGCAGGUUACUACGUAUUUAUUGACGCUGAUGAACGAAAGCGUGGGGAGCGAACAGGAUUAGAUACCCUGGUAGUCCACGCCGUAAACGAUGGAUACUAGCUGUUCGGUUUUCGGACUGAGUGGCUAAGCGAAAGUGAUAAGUAUCCCACCUGGGGAGUACGUUCGCAAGAAUGAAACUCAAAGGAAUUGACGGGGGCCCGCACAAGCGGUGGAGCAUGUGGUUUAAUUCGAUGAUACGCGAGGAACCUUACCAGGGCUUAAAUGUAGAUUGACAGAUUUGGAAACAGAUUUUUCUUCGGACAAUUUACAAGGUGCUGCAUGGUUGUCGUCAGCUCGUGCCGUGAGGUGUCAGGUUAAGUCCUAUAACGAGCGCAACCCCUAUUGUUAGUUACCAGCGCGUAGUGGCGGGGACUCUAGCAAGACUGCCGGUGCAAACCGUGAGGAAGGUGGGGAUGACGUCAAAUCAUCACGGCCCUUACGUCCUGGGCUACACACGUGCUACAAUGGCAAGUACAGAAAGCAGCUACCUGGCAACAGGAUGCGAAUCUCCAAAGCUUGUCUCAGUUCGGAUUGGAGUCUGCAACUCGACUCUAUGAAGCUGGAAUCGCUAGUAAUCGGAUAUCAGCCAUGAUCCGGUGAAUACGUUCCCGGGCCUUGUACACACCGCCCGUCAAGCCAUGGAAGCUGGGGGUACCUGAAGUCGGUGACCGCAAGGAGCUGCCUAGGGUAAAACUAGUAACUAGGGCUAAGUCGUAACAAGGUAGCCGUACCGGAAGGUGCGGCUGGAACACCUCCUUUCUAGA
This 1022-nucleotide ribosomal RNA is filed under the name Myroides odoratimimus. Its description in RNAcentral is "bacterial SSU rRNA". It matches the Rfam family "Bacterial small subunit ribosomal RNA", at positions 502 to 1533 of the family's 1533-position model. Lineage: Bacteria; Pseudomonadati; Bacteroidota; Flavobacteriia; Flavobacteriales; Flavobacteriaceae. The record is from RNAcentral.